RNAcentral lists this long non-coding RNA (896 nucleotides) under Vulpes vulpes (red fox). RNAcentral describes it as "lncRNA (ENSVVUG00000024914.1)". Lineage: Eukaryota; Metazoa; Chordata; Mammalia; Carnivora; Canidae. The record is from RNAcentral.
GUCAGAUGUCAACUGACUGAGCCACCCAGGUGCCCCAAUACUGAACUAAUUUAAGUCAGGAAAUUAGAUGAUCAUAUUAGGAGUUUUGAAAAAUAACUGACCCCAGGAUGAUGUGGAUUGGAAGGAAUGAAAUUAGAAUGGCUGUGCAGGAUUCUGCAUGGGAAAUGGUGGUACCUGAACUAAGGGUCUGGCUAUGAGGAGAUGGCCUGAUUCAAAGGCACCUUUUAGGAGAUAAAUUUGACAGGACUUAGUGACCAACUGGUGCCUAAAGGUGAGAGAGAGGGAGAAAUCAAGGGUGACUCCCUGGUCUCCAGCUUAGGUGAUGAAAUGAAUGGUGUUGCCUAUUACAGGGACAGAAGAAGCAGGUGAAGAACAAGUCUGAAAUGUAAAUAUGAUGGGCUCAGUUCUGCACAUGUACAUUUAGGAGGACUUUGGGGGCUCUUGUUGGAAAAGUCCAGUAAGAAAUAGGGGACUGCAAUCGUGGAAAGAAAUUUAGGCUGGAGAGUAAAUGUGGAUCAGAUGAAACUGUCCAGAGGGAGGAGGGAAGAGAACAGGAAAGAGAAAGAAGAGCCUUUGAUGAGACAGAAAAGGAAUGGCCAGGGGAAGGGAAAACAAGAAACAAAGGUGUCACUGGGGAGGUGUUGUUCAGAAGUGUCAAGGGCAACAAGAGGACAAACCAGCCCCCCAUCAGACUUGCCAUUACUGUCUGCAACUCGUUCUGCUCAGGCUCUCAACAAGCCAGGUACUGAUCAUGCCAGCAGGAGGAAGCCCCGUCCUGCAGCCCAUCAACAGCUGGAGGUGCCCCAGGCCCUGGUCUCAACCCCUUUUAUGUCUAAUUGGCUGUGUGAUCUCAGAGGAAAAUAAACCUAGGGCCUCAGUUUUGCUUAUCUCAUCAG